RNAcentral lists this ribosomal RNA (481 nucleotides) under uncultured bacterium. Its description in RNAcentral is "partial 16S ribosomal RNA". It matches the Rfam family "Bacterial small subunit ribosomal RNA", at positions 28 to 507 of the family's 1533-position model. The record is from RNAcentral.
GACGAACGUUGGCGGCGUGCUUAAUACAUGCAAGUCAACUGAAGCAGUGGUAGCAAUAUCGCUGUGGAGGUGGCGCACGGGUGAGUAACACGUAGGUAAUCUGCCUUCAGGUCUGGCAUAACUCCGGGAAACCGGGGCUAAUAGCAGAUGAUGCAGCGGCUCGACAUCGAGACAGUUGUUAAAGCUAUGGCGCCUGAAGAUGAGCCUGCGUCUGAUUAGCUAGUUGGCGGGGUAACGGCCCACCAAGGCAACGAUCAGUAGCUGGUCUGAGAGGAUGAUCAGCCACACUGGAACUGAGACACGGUCCAGACUACUACGGGAGGCAGCAGUAAGGAAUAUUGCUCAAUGGGAGAAAUACUGAAGCAGCAACGCCGCGGGAGGGACGAAGGGCUUUUGCUUGUAAACCUCUGUAGUGAGAGAAAAAAAUCCCAAUCUUUGGGACAUGAUGGUAUCUCAAAAGUAAGCCCCGGCUAACUACGUG